AGCUCGUAGUUGAAUUUCGGGAUUGGCGCAUCGGUCGUGCCUCACGGGGUAUGAACUGGUGCAGUCAAUUUCUCACCUUCUGGAGAACCGCGAUGUCCUUAAUUGGAUGCCGUGGGGAACCAGGACCUUUACUUUGAAAAAAUUAGAGUGUUUAAAGCAGGCAUUUUUGCUUGAAUACAUUAGCAUGGAAUAAUAAAAUAGGACGGCAUGGUUCUAUUUUGUUGGUUUCUAGGACCACCGUAAUGAUUAAUAGGGAUAGUUGGGGGCAUUAGUAUUCAAUUGUCAGAGGUGAAAUUCUUGGAUUUAUUGAAGACUAACUACUGCGAAAGCAUUUGCCAAGGAUGUUUUCAUUAAUCAAGAACGAAAGUUAGGGGAUCGAAGACGAUCAGAUACCGUCGUAGUCUUAACCAUAAACUAUGCCGACUAGGAAUCAGACGAUGUUAAUUUUUUAAUGACUCGUUCGGCACCUUACGGGAAAC
RNAcentral lists this ribosomal RNA (479 nucleotides) under uncultured Glomus. RNAcentral's name for it is "SSU rRNA". It matches the Rfam family "Eukaryotic small subunit ribosomal RNA", at positions 625 to 1098 of the family's 1831-position model. Lineage: Eukaryota; Fungi; Glomeromycota; Glomeromycetes; Glomerales; Glomeraceae. The record is from RNAcentral.